Oncorhynchus tshawytscha (Chinook salmon) is the source of this 119-nucleotide ribosomal RNA. Lineage: Eukaryota; Metazoa; Chordata; Actinopteri; Salmoniformes; Salmonidae. The record is from Ensembl.
ACUUACGACCACACCGGCCUGAGUACGCCUGAUCUCGUCUGAUCUCGGAAGCUAAGCAGGGUCGGGCCUGGUUAGUACUUGGAUGGGAGACUUCCUGGGAAUACCAGGUGCUGUAAGCU